Molecule: long non-coding RNA, 1030 nt
Organism: Amphiprion ocellaris (clown anemonefish)
Lineage: Eukaryota; Metazoa; Chordata; Actinopteri; Pomacentridae
Exons: 5
Source: RefSeq, a predicted model, not a curated record
GAUUUCAACAAGGAUGGAACUUUGAGGAGAAAAAAGUCAUUAAGAAGAAAAGGAUGAUGGGAAACAUGUCCAGGACCGGUGCAUGAGACGUGAGACCACUCAACUAAUACAAGAGCUCUCUCUCCAAGACACCCAGUAAAAUGAAGGAUCAAAUCAGGACAAGAAACUAGAUAAGGAGCAGCCCCAGCAUGUGAACUCAGAUUAUGGAAGAGGGGAUGCUUAUUAGAGUGACACAAAAUGAGGAAGUUGGAGCACAAAGAGAAAACCACAUAGUCACAGAGAGAACAUGAAGAGGAAGAACCAGAUGAGCAGCAGAAUCUAAGAAGACAAAGAAGCAGUUCGAGGAGCCUCCAGAUGAUCAACAACAGAACAAACAUGUCAGAGAACAGGAAGAAGAUGAAUAACAGCAUCAAACAGAGAAGAAACAGAUCCAAAAGAAGAAGAAGAAAAAGAAGAAGAAAUAGACCCAAGAAGAAGAAGAAGAAGAAGAAGAAGAGCUCAAGAUUACUCCAAAGGUAUCUCUGGAUCUGGAGCUAGACAUUUAGAUCUGCUGUUGCUGGCCUCACCCACUUGCAAAGAGUUCAUGUUCUCUCCCUCCUCUGUAUCCUCAUCCCAGACGGAGGUUUUUUUUCAACUUCCUGGCAACAGGAAGUUUUUUCCUCAACACUGUUACCACAUGUUUGAUUUGAUCAAACUGCAAUAAGUGAGAGUCUUAAAUAAAAAGUCAAAACAAGAGAACUGUAUCUGUUUGUUCAGACGUUUGACAUUAUGGACUCUUCCUGUAACCUUAUUCUAUGGUUAGAAAAUCAUGUUAGUCUAAAAAUAUGUUUUCAAACCAUUGGUUUUUCAUAAACACCUGUGACUCCAUCUUCAAACUGUCCAGCAUUUGAAUAUAUGAAAGGUUGUUUAAUAACUUGGGAUACAAGUUCAGUGUUACUCUCUGCUCUUCCUGCUUCAUCCUGGAUUUAAAACAGUCCCAGUUAUGAUGGAUUUUAAUAUGUGGCCUGAUAAGUAAUAAACAAAUGCUGCA